AUUGAACGCUGGCGGCAGGCCUAACACAUGCAAGUCGAGCGGAUGAAGGGAGCUUGCUCCUGGAUUCAGCGGCGGACGGGUGAGUAAUGCCUAGGAAUCUGCCUGGUAGUGGGGGAUAACGUCCGGAAACGGGCGCUAAUACCGCAUACGUCCUGAGGGAGAAAGUGGGGGAUCUUCGGACCUCACGCUAUCAGAUGAGCCUAGGUCGGAUUAGCUAGUUGGUGGGGUAAAGGCCUACCAAGCCGACGAUCCGUAACUGGUCUGAGUGGAUGAUCAGUCACACUGGAACUGAGACACGGUCCAGACUCCUACGGGAGGCAGCAGUGGGGAAUAUUGGACGAUGGGCGAAAGUCUGAUCCAGCCAUGCCGCGUGUGUGAAGAAGGUCUUCGGAUUGUAAAGCACUUUAAGUUGGGAGGAAGGGCAGUAAGUUAAUACCUUGCUGUUUUGACGUUACCAACAGAAUAAGCCCCGGCUAACUUCGUG
RNAcentral lists this ribosomal RNA (484 nucleotides) under uncultured bacterium. RNAcentral describes it as "partial 16S ribosomal RNA". It matches the Rfam family "Bacterial small subunit ribosomal RNA", at positions 30 to 507 of the family's 1533-position model. The record is from RNAcentral.